GAUGAACGCUGGCGGCGUGCCUAAUACAUGCAAGUCGAGCGAACGGAGGAGAAGCUUGCUUCUCUGAUGUUAGCGGCGGACGGGUGAGUAACACGUGGAUAACCUACCUAUAAGACUGGGAGAACUUCGGGAAACCGGAGCUAAUACCGGAUAAUAUUUUGAACCGCAGGGUGCAAAAGUGAAAGACGGUCUUGCUGUCACUUAUAGAUGGAUCCGCGCUGCAUUAGCUAGUUGGUAAGGUAACGGCUUACCAAGGCAACGAUGCAUAGCCGACCUGAGAGGGUGAUCGGCCACACUGGAACUGAGACACGGUCCAGACUCCUACGGGAGGCAGCAGUAGGGAAUCUUCCGCAAUGGGCGAAAGCCUGACGGAGCAACGCCGCGUGAGUGAUGAAGGUCUUCGGAUCGUAAAACUCUGUUAUUAGGGAAGAACAUAUGUGUAAGUAACUGUGCACAUCUUGACGGUACCUACUCAGAAAGCAACGGCUAACUACGUG
This 497-nucleotide ribosomal RNA is filed under the name uncultured bacterium. RNAcentral's name for it is "partial 16S ribosomal RNA". It matches the Rfam family "Bacterial small subunit ribosomal RNA", at positions 28 to 507 of the family's 1533-position model. The record is from RNAcentral.